UACGAAGGGAGCUAGCGUUGUUCGGAUUUACUGGGCGUAAAGGGCGCGUAGGCGGUUUAGUAAGUUGGAUGUGAAAGCCCUGGGCUCAACCCGGGAAUUGCAUUCAAAACUACUUUACUCGGAUUUGGUAGAGGUUGGUAGAAUUCCCAGUGUAGAGGUGAAAUUCGUAGAGAUUGGGAAGAAUACCCGUGGCGAAGGCGGCCAACUGGACCAACAUCGACGCUGAGGCGCGAAAGCGUGGGUAGCAAACAGG
RNAcentral lists this ribosomal RNA (253 nucleotides) under uncultured bacterium. RNAcentral's name for it is "partial 16S ribosomal RNA". It matches the Rfam family "Bacterial small subunit ribosomal RNA", at positions 524 to 776 of the family's 1533-position model. The record is from RNAcentral.